RNAcentral lists this transfer RNA (69 nucleotides) under Docosaccus maculatus. Its description in RNAcentral is "tRNA-Phe". It matches the Rfam family "tRNA". From Rfam's summary of the family: Transfer RNA (tRNA) molecules are approximately 80 nucleotides in length. Their secondary structure includes four short double-helical elements and three loops (D, anti-codon, and T loops). Further hydrogen bonds mediate the characteristic L-shaped molecular structure. tRNAs have two regions of fundamental functional importance: the anti-codon, which is responsible for specific mRNA codon recognition, and the 3' end, to which the tRNAs corresponding amino acid is attached (by aminoacyl-tRNA synthetases). tRNAs cope with the degeneracy of the genetic code in two manners: having more than one tRNA (with a specific anti-codon) for a particular amino acid; and 'wobble' base-pairing, i.e. permitting non-standard base-pairing at the 3rd anti-codon position. The record is from RNAcentral. Lineage: Eukaryota; Metazoa; Porifera; Hexactinellida; Lyssacinosida; Euplectellidae.
ACCCUAGAAACUCAAUAGAGUGUUAUUUUGAAAAAAUAAAAGAAAUAGAUUCAAAUCCUAUCUAAGGUA